CCUCCGUGUUUGCUUACAAUGUACAGAUUGUGGGUCCCUUUGCCCACUUGCGGGAAGACUCGCCUCUCGUGGACUUGCUGCCGUAGCGUGAGUAGAACAGCCGAUGAGUGAAUCACAACGCAAGGCCAGCAGAGGCUUCAAAGAUGCCACGGGAGCUAUUUCUGGAUUUCUUGAAGAAGCCAUAUUGAAAAGCUCAUUGACAGCUUUGGAGAUGCAUUGGUGUUGCUUUUUUCUGUCACAAUACUGGCACUGUUCAGUGAACUAUGAUAUUUGUCUUCAACAUUAUCAUUUAUUUGACCCUUGGGGAGAGAUUACAGAAGGAGGGGGGGGACAAGUAGAGAAAAAAAUAGAGUACAGCAAAUAUGCAAAAAUACACAGCACAAAAUACAGCAAUAAAGGUGGUGUGUUAAUAUGA
Molecule: long non-coding RNA, 415 nt
Organism: Rhipicephalus microplus (southern cattle tick)
Lineage: Eukaryota; Metazoa; Arthropoda; Arachnida; Ixodida; Ixodidae
Source: RefSeq, a predicted model, not a curated record